UAGGGAAUAUUAGUAAUGGGCGAAAGCCUGAACUAGCAACACCGCGUGUGCGAAGAAGGCCUUCGGGUUGUAAAGCACUUUUUGGAAGGAUUAGGAAGGAAUGUACUUCCAGAAUAAGUCUCGGCUAACUACGUGCCAGCAGCCGCGGUAACACGUAGGAGGCAAACGUUAUCCGGAUUUACUGGGCGUAAAGCGCGUGUAGGUGGUUCUGUAAGUAGGGCGUGAAAGCUCCUGGCUCAACUGGGAGAGGCCGUUCUAAACUGCAGAGCUAGAGGAUGGUGGAGGGAGGUGGAAUUCCGGGUGUAGCGGUGGAAUGCGCAGAUAUCCGGAGGAACACCAGUGGCGAAAGCGGCCUCCUGGACCAUUCCUGACACUCAGACGCGAAAGCUAGGGUAGCAAACG
RNAcentral lists this ribosomal RNA (402 nucleotides) under uncultured prokaryote. RNAcentral describes it as "bacterial SSU rRNA". It matches the Rfam family "Bacterial small subunit ribosomal RNA", at positions 355 to 774 of the family's 1533-position model. The record is from RNAcentral.